GGUCAUUCAAACCCAAAGGAUCCACGACCUACAGGUUGCAAACCAUUGUCUGACAAGACUAAACAUCUCCUUAUGUCCAGGGGUCCUCAAGGCAGCCCCCCACCGCCUUACUGGUAUUUGAAGAGCAGUACGAACUGUGUCUUGUGAAGAAGAUCUCUGAGCAGAGAAGGUUACUUCCGUGUCAGCACCUCAGGUCACAGGCAGCUGGACUUCCAGGAUCCUCAUGACCCGCUCAUGCUAUCAUGUAGCUGAUGAAAGUCUCUGAUUCAACUUAUCCAAAAGGGAACACUCCUCGGUGCUAGAGAUGCAACGGAAAAGAGGCAUUCCAAAUUCCUAAUUAUGAAGCUCAAACAGGAAACUUGAGGUAAGGAAGGGGAUCAGUGAGAUAG
Molecule: long non-coding RNA, 389 nt
Filed under: Mus spicilegus (steppe mouse)
Lineage: Eukaryota; Metazoa; Chordata; Mammalia; Rodentia; Muridae
Description: lncRNA (ENSMSIG00000019987.1)
Source: RNAcentral